AUGCAGCAUCAUCAAGAUUCUCAUCUUCUGUGCCUUUGACUUGUCGUAGCGAGGAUGAGAUCUUGCAGUGCUCCAAACUGAGGUGCUUCGCCUUCAGCGAUCUCAAAACCGCCACCAGGAAUUUCCGUCUCGAUAGCGUAUUGGGAGAGGGGGGCUUCGGUUCUGUCUUCAAGGGAUGUGAAUCUUGAUGAUGCUGCAC
This 199-nucleotide microRNA precursor is filed under the name Elaeis guineensis (African oil palm). RNAcentral describes it as "miR172f stem-loop (egu-MIR172f)". Its record names the gene egu-MIR172f. Lineage: Eukaryota; Viridiplantae; Streptophyta; Magnoliopsida; Arecales; Arecaceae. The record is from miRBase by way of RNAcentral.